AAAAAUCCAACGAGACCUUUCGGGGUCUUGAAACCUGUGAACUGGAAAAUGGAGCUUCGGCAAAGUUUUCGCACUUGUACUUUUUGUUUUAUUUUUAUUUUCUUAUGAGUUUUUUGAGCGCAAGCUUGAAUUACGAGUAAUUAAAGA
Molecule: unclassified non-coding RNA, 147 nt
Filed under: uncultured fungus
Lineage: Eukaryota; Fungi
Description: sequence contains ITS1
Source: RNAcentral